CCAAGAUGGCAGACGAAGAUGAGGAAUAUCUGCAAUUCGUAGCACUUCAUAGAAGUCAGUUAGAAUUUGUUGGAAUACCUUGUCACUUCUGGAAAUCAAUUCAUACAAAGUUGAAGAACGAGACUUACGAUGCUGGAAUAUUUUUCACAAUGGUUAAAGAAAGAGAUGGAAUUUUGAAAGUUUUUGUUACUAGAGAAGAUGGAAUGAAGGUGUCAGAUCCUUACUGUGUGUUUUUAAUUGAUCAUGCCUGGACGUACCAAGUGAAUUAUGCAAGAGCCCAGCUCAAGACAAUCCCUGGUCUUGCAGAUAGAAUGGGUUCUUUGAUGGCAGUAACAAAAGAUGAAGAAUCACUUCAAAUGAGUCAGGAACAACUCAUUGAAGAAAUCUUGGAAAAGAUGUGGAGUUUUAAUCAGAGUUACCGUUUAAAGGUGAGUUAUUCAAACAGCCACAUGUAUCAAAAGGAUGCUCAUGAUGAUGAUGAACAUACUCCUUUGUGGUUUGUCAUGGAUGAGUUUGGUUCUUGUAUAAAACAUUCAGAUGACCCUUCUUUUGCAAUUGGUAUUCUUCAUUAUGUACCUCUUGGCAUGGCCUUCUCAAUACUAUGGCCCUUGAGAGAUAUGGAUUAUGGAGAGGAAGUUACUCGGGAUUAUGUAGCACCCAUCACAGAACCACUCUUACGCGAUUGUUCUCUGUUACCUUGGUUCCCUGACAAGCUGGAAGAUGAAAAUUGGAUCAAACAAUUGACUGCUGAAAGAGCAAUAGAUCUUGUCAGGGAGGAACUCAGUGCAAUGCAGAUGAAGGACUGGCAGGGUGAGCUUUAUCCUAGCCACAAAUGUACAGAACUUACUGCUGUAACACCUGACAGUGAAAAAGUAUAUCGUGUUUUCACUGAUGUUCAACAAGUAACAGAUUUUCUAACACAUCCAAGAUUUUUUCUGGUAGACAAUAAAGAAGAAGCAGAUAUUCUAUGGAUAAGGGAGCAUUUUAAAGAUUUUAGAUCUCUUCAAGAAAAUGGUAAAUUUAUAAAUCAGUUUCCAAAUGAGAACAGCCUGGUAUGCAAAGAUCUUCUGGCAGCAGUGUGUCAAAAUGCAACCCCCUGUGGAGAUGGCAAAGAAGAUGACUUACUUGUGAGAGGACCUGAAUGGCUACCUGUUACUUUCAACUUAAAUUUCGAACUUCCCCUGUUUCUUGAUCAUUACAUAAAGAGAAAGAAGAGAGGGCUUGAUAAUCACUGGAUUUGUAAACCAUGGAAUCUAGCAAGAGCCCUUGAUAGCCACGUGACGUCAAAUGUAAACUACAUUUUGAGACUGAGAGAGACUGGGCCAAAGGUUGUCUGUAAAUACAUAGAAAACCCGAUUCUGUUCCAUCGGGAAGAUGUUGGUCAGGUCAAGUUUGAUAUACGUUACUUAGUUCUCAUCAGCUCAGCAGAGCCCCUUGUGCUCUAUGCAGAUAAAGUUUUCUGGUUACGAUUUGCCAACCAGCCAUUUUCUAUGGAUUCUUUCGAUGUUUACGCGAAACAUUUCACAGUUAUGAAUUAUCGGGACAGUGAAAAUUUAAAGCAGGUGCAUCACCACGAGUUCAUUCCUAUGUUUGAAAAACAAUAUCCUGAUCACAGAUGGGCCGACGUCGAGGCAAAAAUUUUCAAAAUGUUCCGCGAGAUGUUCGAGGCGGCUGUCUGCGACUCGCCACCCAAGAAGUUGAUACACUGUUCGCAGAAACAGUAUGGAAAUGGUAAAUCUGGUCUUAGAAAACAGUAGCGGAAACAUUAUGGAAGUGGUAACACCUGGUCUGAAGAAACAGUUACGUGCAGACACGAACAUACUAAAAUGUUGAAGAACUGCCACGGAGGCAUCUCUAUUUAAUGAUUCCUUCAGUUAAGAUCAUGAGUCAGUGGAUUACUUGAACAGCUUGUGUUGUGUUGUCUGUUUUGCAGUCUCGUGCAUUUUAUGCCGUUGAUUUGAUGCUCAAAUGGGCGGACGAUGGCUCAAACGAAAUAGUACCUCAAGUUUUGGAGGUAAACUACGUCCCAGACU
Molecule: unclassified non-coding RNA, 2033 nt
Filed under: Stylophora pistillata
Lineage: Eukaryota; Metazoa; Cnidaria; Anthozoa; Scleractinia; Pocilloporidae
Description: tubulin--tyrosine ligase-like protein 12, transcript variant X3
Source: RNAcentral